UUUUUGUAUUAGGUGGAAAUGCCAGAAGAAAAGAAAAAGAAAAAGACAAAUGCAAACUUACAAGGGAAACGGAAACCAGCCCCCUUUAAUGGCCCAUCAUGCUCAUCUGGAAGGGAAAAAACACAAAAAAUCCUCCUCAAAGAAUGAAACCGAGCAAAACAGUACUUAAAAGUUAACAAAGGUUGUGGAAAGAAACCAACGCAUCAGCAGAGGAAAAUAGUUUCUAAAUCAAAAAGAAAUGGAAAAAACGGAGCAGCUCAAGAAAAGAUUCUGGUAGGAAUAUAAUUAUUCUUUUUUUAAUUUAUAUAAUGAUCUGAUUUUUAGCUCACCUGGCCAUAUGGGCCAAGUCAUCACUAGGCGUCCGUCGUCCGGCGUCUUUCGUCCCUCGUCCGUUAACUUUUACAAAAAUCUUCUCUGAUGAAACUUCUGAGCCAAAAUUUAAGCAAACUUGGCCACAAUCAACAUUGGGGUAUCUAGUUUAAAGAUAUGUCCAAUGAUCCAAACAACCAACCAAGAUGACCGCCAUCGCUAAAAAUACAACAAAUGGGUGUAAAACUUAGGUUUUGGCUUAUAUCUUUGAAUCCAAAUCAUUUAGAGCAAAUUUGACAAGAAACAAUUGGUUUUCAGGUCUAGAUCUAUCUGUCCUGAAAUUUUCAGACGAUCAGACAAGCUGUAAAUUCUUGGGUUGUUACCCCUGAAUAAAUAAUUUUAAGGAAUCUUUAGUUAUUAUCUUGAAUAUUAUUAUUGAUAGAGAUAGAACUGUAAACAGCAAUAAUGUUCAGCAAAGUAAGAUCUACAAAUUAGUCAAAUGACCAAAAUGACUAAUUGACCCCAUAAGGAGUUAUUGCUCUUUAAAGUCAAAUUUAAAAAUUUUCUUCUAAUCUUUUACAAAAGUCUUCUCCUCUGAAACAACUGAGACAAAUUUAAUCAAACUUGCCAAAAUCAGCAUUAUGGUUUAUGGUUAAAACAAAAUGUGUCCGAUGACCCUGCUAACCAACCAACAUGGCAGACAUGGCUAAGAAUAGAAAAUAGGGGGAAAUGCAGUUCUUGACUUGUAUUUCUGAAAUUAAAGCACAAGUUACAACGGUUGCAUUAUUUCAUGCAUCAAUUGUAAAUAAAAAAUAAAAUAAAAAAUUUAAAAAUAUCAAUGUAAGCGAAACAGUCUCCUUGGAGCAUCUUGCUCUAUCUUACAAUCACCUUUUACUAUAUAUAUAAGUGUUCCGAGCGACUGAACCGAAGCCAUCUGGUUGAGUUUGAUUCCUAAAUAGAUGUCCUCUACAUGUAUACUGUCUGUUUUAGCAGCAUUGACUCAAAAUGGAAAUACUUCAAAGAAACUUGUCCGUAACGGAAAUUCACACUUUAUUUACCCCUUAAAUGCUGGUUUACCUAAUACAUGUAAUACCUUUCUACAAACAAAAUUCAUGUAAAUUGAUUCCCUACGAAAUCAACAGUUGCUGUUAUUCACAAAGUUACACUUGUUUUUAUUUAGAUUGAUAUUUUAUAGUGUGUGUUUCUAGGUUGUGAUGUUAUACUACUUUUUCUGAAAAGGGAGAAGGUUUGGUACCAUCAAAACGUUUAAACCCUGAAUCUAGAAUAUGAUGUUCAGUUGUUCUCGUUUAUGUAUGUGGUACAUAAGUGUUUCUCGUUUCUCGUUCUAAUAAGACCGCAAAAAAAAUUUGGGAUCGUAUAAUACUAUGAUGUUGUCGUUUGCGUCGUCGUCGUCGUCCAAAGACACAAUGGUUUGGACAAUAACUUUAGUUUACGUAAAAGGAUCUUUAUGAUUUUUUUUCAGAAGGUUCAAUAUCACAAAAAGGAAGCCUGUGAUUAAUUUUAGACAUGACUGUCCCAAACGUUUAGGAAUAAGAGGCCAAAAGGGUCCGUAACAAGCUUUUUUCUAGUUUCAGGAUAAUAACUUGUGUAUAAAAAAGAAGAUGUGGUAUGAUUGCCAAUGAGACAACUAUCCACAAAAGACCAAAAUGACACAGACAUAAUAAUAACUAUAGGUCACCGUACGGGUUCAACAAUGAGCACAGCCCAUACCGCACAGUCAGCUAUAAAAGGCCCCGAUAUGACAAUGUAAAACAAUUCAAAGGAGAAAACUAACGCGUAUGAAUAUUUCUAUUGGUUUGAAAUUGUACCACAAUAUUUAAUACCACAAGUAGAAGGUUAGGAUUCUGUUUAGGGGUUAUGGGGCCAACAAUUUAAAAAUUAAGGGCCGAAAAGGGGCCAAAAACAAGACUUUUUCUUGUUUCAAACAAUAACUUGUAUGUAAGUGUAUGGAUCUCUCUAAAAUUGUACCACAAUGUUUCAUGUAACAAAGGAAAUGAUAGGAUUGAGUUUGGGCUUAAUUGCCCCAAACAUGAAGGAAUUAGGGGCAAAAGAAGGACAAAAAGAAGCAUUUUUCUAGUUUCAGACAAUAACUUGUGUUAAAGUGUAUGGAUCUCGCUGAAGUUGUACUAUAAGGUUCCAGAUGAAAUCUUCAAUUUGCACACUGACAGUAACGAGCAAUAGCUAUAGAUUUGCAAGAUUUUUGACCACAUUUUUUUUGUGUGUCAAAACCUAUAUUAUGUCAAGAAUUUGACCACAUUUCAAAUUCAGACAGUACCAAGCUUGAAUAUUGUGUCCAUACUUGCCCAACUGUUUAUGAUUCGACCUUUGCGGUCGUAUAAAGCUGCGCCCUGCGGAGCAUCUAGUUUAUAUAGAUAAGACAGUUGGUUUUCCGGUUUGAAUGGUUUUACACUAGUAGUGGGGCCCUUUACAGCUUGCUGUUCGGUGUGAGCCUAAGCUCUGUAUUGAAGACCGUACCUUGACCUACAAUGAUUUACUUUUAUAACUUGUGACGUGGAUGGAGCGUUGUCUCAUUGUCACUUAUGCCACAUCUUCUUAUAUUUAUUAACAUUUUACAUUACUGUGUUAUUAAUGAUUCGAUUCAUGCACAGUUUUGAACUUUUUGUCUGUUGUUUCUUACACUUUAUCAUCUUUGCUUGACAAUGGUUACAAUGUCAUGCCCAUUUCAACUGCACAGCGAUUUCUUUUAAGAUGGUACUCUGACUAGAAUCGUGUAUAGGUUCUAAUUGGACGAUACAGGAUUGCAAUUACUUCUUAUUAAAAGCUUAUCCAAUUUGGUGUAAAAAAUCCAGAAAAUCAAAAUAACAUUUUACAAAUUAUAGAAAAUAUGUUUAAAAAUCUUCACCUCAAGGUCAUUAAAAUUUACUUUUUUUAUUAAGUCGAUGUUUUAAGCAGCAUUUUAAUAUCACCAUACGGCCUUCAACAAUGAGCAAACCCCUAUACCCAAUAGUCGAUCAGCUAAACAAGGCCACGAAAUGACAAAUGUAAAUCAAUUCUAACAAGAAAACCAUGAUAAAAAAAUCAACGAAAACAAAAUAAAAAUAUGUAUCGCAUCAACAAACGACAAUCUCUGAAUUACAGGCUUCUGACUUGGGAAAGGCACAUACAUACAGAAUGUGGCGGGGUUAAAAAGUCAAAUAAAAAAAUUAAGAACUCCAAGGAAAAUUCAAUCGGAAAGUCCCUAUAAUCACAUGGCAAAAUCAAAUGACAAAACACAUUAAACGACUGUCAUAUUUCUGACCUGGUACAGGCAUUUCAAGUGUAGAAAAUGGUGUAUUGAACCUGGUUUUAUAGCGCUCAAUCUCUCACUUAAACAUGUUAGCGGGAUCCAAAACCUCUCCUAACCUGGGAAAGUGGCAUAACAGUACAACAUACAUUUGUAAGAACGAACUAUAAAUUUGGUUGAAAAAGGCUUAACUCAUCAGGUGGAUAAAUAGAAAUACAUAAAACAAAAACACACAGUGGACGUGGCCGGGUACUUGUAUAUCCAAACAACAAAAAAGACACUAUCCAUUUUUGCUGCAUGACCAUGUAUAUGGUUUUGAUUGUUAUGCAACACUGACAUAUCUAGUAACAGGAACUGCUACGUACCCUAUGAGAAUUGCAUUAUAGGAAUAAUUGUUCUUUUGUAUCAUUCUUGACCAACGGCAGCACUUGCACUCUCUGAAGUGUUGGGGUUUUAAAAAUGGUUUUGCCCACUAGUAUAACAUACAUGCUUGGAAGCAGGAACCAGAAGGAUUCGUUGAUAUUCAAACAUUUGCGUAUGAAAGUAACAUACAGGAACUUCAAUUAGUUGAUUAAGAACUUUCAAAUUGUCACUCAUUGUUGUCUUAUAAUGUUUUUGGGGCUCAGACUUGAUGCACAAUCACCACAUGGCAAUCGUUUAUUAUUUUUUCUACAUUCACACAUGCAUAUGCUCAUUAAAGGCCCUUAAUUUUAAUUGAAUAGUGCAAGUUACAACUGGGACCAAUAUUAUAAUUACCCCACUGAUACAAAAUUCUAUCUUAAACGGCCAAGAGUAAAGAGGAGGGGACUUGAUCAUAUUCCUUAGCCAGAUUAUAUAACUUAAAAUAAAUUUAUUUUGUUUUUAUGAAUAUUGGUGUAUUAUUUAGUUAAGUUCAUGCUAUUGAUACAUCUUUAUGUUUUAGACAGAGAUCAAUAUUAUGCGGUACUUUACUUUUUUCAGAUGAAACAAAGGCAACAAAGAAACAGAAACAAAGUACAUUCUUAUGUGAACCAAUGAUACUAUUACCAGAG
Molecule: long non-coding RNA, 4605 nt
Filed under: Mytilus galloprovincialis (Mediterranean mussel)
Lineage: Eukaryota; Metazoa; Mollusca; Bivalvia; Mytilida; Mytilidae
Source: RNAcentral